This 301-nucleotide ribosomal RNA is filed under the name uncultured bacterium. RNAcentral's name for it is "partial 16S ribosomal RNA". It matches the Rfam family "Bacterial small subunit ribosomal RNA", at positions 509 to 807 of the family's 1533-position model. The record is from RNAcentral.
CAGUCGCCGCGGUAAUACGAAGGGUGCAAGCGUUGUCCGGAAUUAUUGGGCGUAAAGAGCUUGUAGGUGGUUUGUCGCGUCUGCUGUGAAAAUCCGAGGCUCAACCUCGGGCUUGCAGUGGGUACGGGCAGACUAGAGUGUGGUAGGGGAGACUGGAAUUCCUGGUGUAGCGGUGGAAUGCGCAGAUAUCAGGAGGAACACCGAUGGCGAAGGCAGGUCUCUGGGCCAUUACUGACACUGAGAAGCGAAAGCAUGGGGAGCGAACAGGAUUAGAUACCCCUGUAGUCCCUGUCUCUUAUAC